UUUUGGUCCUAAACUUGCUGCUAUUUUUGAUCAAAAUUAUACAUGCAAGCAUCUGCACACCAGUGAGAAUGCCCUAACUUACACUUAAAAGGAGCAGGUAUCAGGCACGACCUGUCAGCCCAAAACACCUUGCUAUGCCACACCCACAUGGGUACUCAGCAGUAAUUAAUAUUAAGCAAUGAGUAAGAAGCCACAUAAGCUCGACUUAGUUAUGAUCAAUAAGGGCCGGUUAACCUCGUGCCAGCCACCGCGGUUAUACGAAGGGCCCAAAACAGCAGACAACGGCGUAAAUUGUGGCUAGAGACACCACCUUAAACAAGAAGAAAUAAACCACACCCUAACCGUAAAACAUAGGCUAAAUGAAACCCCCACUCUUCUUACACAAGGUUGCUUGAACCCACGAAAACUAAGAAACAAACUAGGAUUAGACACCCUACUAUGCUUAGAUGUAAACAAGACACUACACAACGAAAGUGUCCGCCAGAGAAUUACAAGCGAAAAGCUUAAAACUCAAAGGACUUGGCGGUGCUCCGUACUCAACUUAGAGGAGCCUGUCCUAUAAUCGAUACUCCACGAUAAACCUUACCAUCUUUUGCCAACCCAGCCUAUAUACCGCCGUCGAAAACUUACCCCAUGAGGGAAAAAAAGUAAGUAAGAUAGUCAAUCACUAACACGUCAGGUCAAGGUGUAGCUUACAAGAUGGCAGAGAUGGGCUACAUUUUCUAACAAGAACAUACGGCAAUGGGCCAUGAAACACUCCCACGAAGGCGGAUUUAACAGUAAAAUAAUUAAGAAAAAUUAUCUAAAACUCGCUCCGGAGCGCGCACACACCGCCCGUCACCCUCCUCAACAAA
This 854-nucleotide non-coding RNA is filed under the name Phymaturus dorsimaculatus. Its description in RNAcentral is "partial 12S ribosomal RNA". It matches the Rfam family "Bacterial small subunit ribosomal RNA". Lineage: Eukaryota; Metazoa; Chordata; Lepidosauria; Squamata. The record is from RNAcentral.